GAUGAACGCUGGCGGCGUGCCUAAUACAUGCAAGUCGAGCGAACAGACGAGGAGCUUGCUCCUCUGACGUUAGCGGCGGACGGGUGAGUAACACGUGGAUAACCUACCUAUAAGACUGGGAUAACUUCGGGAAACCGGAGCUAAUACCGGAUAAUAUAUUGAACCGCAUGGUUCAAUAGUGAAAGACGGUUUUGCUGUCACUUAUAGAUGGAUCCGCGCCGCAUUAGCUAGUUGGUAAGGUAACGGCUUACCAAGGCGACGAUGCGUAGCCGACCUGAGAGGGGGAUCGGCCACACUGGAACUGAGACGCGGUCCAGACACCGACGGGAGGCAGCAGUAGGGAAUCUUCCGCAAUGGGCGAAAGCCUGACGGAGCAACGCCGCGUGAGUGAUGAAGGUCUGCGGAUCGUAAAACUCUGUUAUUAGGGAAGAACAAAUGUGUAAGUAACGAUGCACGUCUGGACGGUACCGAAACAGAAAGCCACGGCUAACUACGG
RNAcentral lists this ribosomal RNA (496 nucleotides) under uncultured bacterium. RNAcentral describes it as "partial 16S ribosomal RNA". It matches the Rfam family "Bacterial small subunit ribosomal RNA", at positions 28 to 506 of the family's 1533-position model. The record is from RNAcentral.